Patella vulgata (common limpet) is the source of this 2268-nucleotide long non-coding RNA. RefSeq lists it as uncharacterized. The transcript has 4 exons. Lineage: Eukaryota; Metazoa; Mollusca; Gastropoda; Patellidae. The record is from RefSeq and is a predicted model, not a curated record.
UUUGGAAUAUUCUGAUUCUGUAACAAAUGUAAAUUUAUAUUUCGGUCAUUUUUGAAAAUAGUGAGUUACUAGGGAUUCGUCGUGGCCUAGAUUCCGAUUUGACUUUUAAUGGAGGUAUAACCGUGGCUGUAACAGGGACUUUCUUCUUGUCAAAAUUUUAUAUCGAAUGCAGCUAAGUCAAUUUAUUAUGUCACACAAUUAAUUAUUAUCUUUAAUCCAGUCAAAAACUGGAACUAUUUUGCGAUAUGGUUCCAUUUCGAGCGGUGAUCUGGUUAUGCGACGCGUUUACCCGAAUAAUUCGCUUUCAGAAUCUGAUUAUUCUGUUACCAAUUUAAUAAUAUAAUUUAAAAAAAACAAAACUGUUUAGGAUUAUCUUAUUUACGGAAGAGAACGUGUAAUGGGUCGAAUGUCUCGUCAAUACAAUAUCAGACAUUCUGAGAUUAAUUUGUUUUUAUCGUUAGAUAAAUUUAUCGUCUCAAGGAAUGAGGCCGAAAGUUUUGAAACUGAAUCAAUCGGGUUGACUGAAAAAAAAAAACAAAAAAAACCCCCUAAGCAUGUCGCCACGGCCAUGGCAUCAUUAUAUCUAACCUUUUAUGCUUUUAUGAAGUCAAAGAACACGUUGAUUUGUUUCGCGACCUAUACAUAGGCCUACAGUAUUUGUUUAAAGACCCAAACGAAGUUGAUUUGGAGAAAAAUAAAGCUCCUUAAGAAGAGAAAAGACACAAGAAUGUAUUGAUGUUGGAUGUUUAAGUUGAAAAAAUCAAACUAAAGACUUCAGCAGAAGUGAAAUGAUCCCAAAAAGAACUUAAGGGGGGAAUAUGUUUCAAGGAAUAAUGAAAUCUAGAGAAGAAUACCAGAAGAAAAAUGGUACAGGAGAAAUUUCAAGAUCUAGAUUGAAAUUGCAAAAGAGUGGAUGGCGUCAUAUCUACAAAACAGGAGUUUUCGUGUAAAAGUUAAGAAUGAUUUCUCCGAUGUAAAACAUGUAAAUUUUUCAGUUCCACAAGGUAGCAUCAAUGGUCCGAUCUACUUUAUCUGCUAUACCAGUACACUAGCAUCCUGCAUCAGACACAAUCAAACAUUAGUUGGCUACGCCGAUGACCACAGCUUGUAUGACAGUUUUAAAGCCGGAGAUCUUGAUGCAGAAUCUCAUAUUGCUUCCCGCGUAUCAGAGUCCUUAGACGACGUUAAAAUCUGGAUGCUGCAUAAUCGACUAAAGAUGAACGACGAAAAAACUGAGGUUAUUAUCUUCGGUGGUAGCCGUUAGCUCCACAAGUCUACCAUCCACGAAUUAAGAGUUGGGGAUUCUGUAGUUGGGUCUUCAUCCCGUGUUAAAUUCCUGGGGAUGCAUUUGGACGAAAACUUAAACUUAAAGAGUCAUUUUGCCCAGAAGACUUGUUGUGCUGCUUCGGCAAUGUUCAACUUGCGGAAAUUGAGUCCGUUUCUUUCGCGAGAAUCAUCUCUUCAAAUUGCCAGUUCUUUAGUUUUCUCCCAUAUGGAUUACAGAAAUAGUCUGCUCUGUGGUUUGCCAGCAACUACUCUUCAACCUCUCCAACGAAUUCAAAAUUUUACUGCAAAGCUAAUUCUUGGUGUUAAUUACGGCCAUAGCUCGACUGGUGCUCUGAAAGAACUUCAUAUAUUGCCAGUUGAAGUCCGAUGACAAUUCAAGCUACUGGUACUGGUGUAUAAGUGUCUCCACAACCUUGCCCCUGUCUACCUUUCUGAAUUAUUGCAGUCCCAAACUUCAUCAUGCAAUACGAGAUCGUCAUCAAAAAACAUGUUAUUUAUACCCAAGACAAAAAGUAAAACAUUUGCAGACAGAUCGUUCAGUGUGCUAGGACCGCGGCUCUGGAAUACCCUUCAGAAAGUGUGAAACAAUGUCAAACUGUAACGGAUUUUAAAAAGAAACUCAAAACAUAUUUUUUUCGUAAAGCAUUUCUUUAACGUUUGUGUAAGACUUUGUGAAGCGCCAUUGAAUGCAUGGCAGUAAUGUGCACUAUAUCAAAUGUAAUAUGUUAUGUUAUGUUAUGUUAUUACAUCGUUUCUUCACAGACAGUUGAGUUGAUGAUAAUGUAACAAUAAAGAACUUUUUUCAUUGGAUCUUAUUAUUUCAUUACAAAUUUUGAAUGUAAAUACAUGUAACAUUUUGUUUUAUAUUUUGAAAUAUUGUAUAUAUUAUGGAAAAUUGUGAUAAUUGUUUAUUAAUUUUGAAAUAUCUAGACUGUGAUUUGGUUUUAAUUCAUGCAUAUGUAACGUAAUCAUUAUUGAUUA